UGGGGAAUAUUGGGCAAUGGGCGCAAGCCUGACCCAGCAACGCCGCGUGAGGGAAGAAGGCUUUCGGGUUGUAAACCCCUGUCCUUGGUGACGAAACAAAUGACGGUAGCCCAGGAGGAAGCCCCGGCUAACUACGUGCCAGCAGCCGCGGUAAUACGUAGGGGGCGAGCGUUGUCCGGAAUUACUGGGCGUAAAGGGUGCGUAGGCGGCCUUUUAAGUUGGAUGUGAAAUACCCGGGCUUAACUUGGGGGGUGCAUUUAAUACUGGUGGGCUAGAGUGAAGGAGAGGGGAGCGGAAUUCCUGGUGUAGCGGUGAAAUGCGUAGAUAUUAGGAGGAACACCAGUGGCGAAGGCGGCUUUCUGGACUGUACCUGACGCUGAGGCACGAAGGCGUGGGGAGCAAACG
Molecule: ribosomal RNA, 405 nt
Filed under: uncultured prokaryote
Description: bacterial SSU rRNA
Rfam family: Bacterial small subunit ribosomal RNA
Source: RNAcentral